AGCUUCGGCCAUCCGGCGAGGGAUGGGCCCGCGGUGCAUUAGCUAGUUGGUGGGGUAACGGCCCACCAAGGCGACGAUGCAUAGCUGGUCUGAGAGGAUGAUCAGCCACACUGGGACUGAGACACGGCCCAGACUCCUACGGGAGGCAGCAGUCGGGAAUCUUGCGCAAUGGGCGAAAGCCUGACGCAGCAACACCGUGUGAGCGACGAAGGCCUUCGGGUCGUAAAGCUCUGUUGUUGGGGACGAAGGGCGAAGGGUUAAUAGCCC
This 267-nucleotide ribosomal RNA is filed under the name uncultured Rubrobacter sp. Its description in RNAcentral is "partial 16S ribosomal RNA". It matches the Rfam family "Bacterial small subunit ribosomal RNA", at positions 202 to 468 of the family's 1533-position model. The record is from RNAcentral. Lineage: Bacteria; Bacillati; Actinomycetota; Rubrobacteria; Rubrobacterales; Rubrobacteraceae.